UAUCGACACUGCGUCGAUAUGUCCGGUGUUCCGGCUUUGUCCCCCGCCGUUUACCGGAUACAACAGUCUACUUUCCCUCUCCGGACUGUUGAGUGAGUGCAGUAAAAAAGGCCGUUGUGGUUUCCCCCUCUCCACAACGGUCUAUUUUU
Molecule: small RNA, 149 nt
Filed under: Ditibartonella apis
Lineage: Bacteria; Pseudomonadati; Pseudomonadota; Alphaproteobacteria; Hyphomicrobiales; Bartonellaceae
Description: Bartonella apis Alphaproteobacterial sRNA ar7
Rfam family: Alphaproteobacterial sRNA ar7
Source: Rfam by way of RNAcentral